Molecule: ribosomal RNA, 942 nt
Filed under: Bacillus subtilis
Lineage: Bacteria; Bacillati; Bacillota; Bacilli; Caryophanales; Bacillaceae
Description: bacterial SSU rRNA
Rfam family: Bacterial small subunit ribosomal RNA
Source: RNAcentral
GCGUGCCUAAUACAUGCAAGUCGAGCGGACAGAUGGGAGCUUGCUCCCUGAUGUUAGCGGCGGACGGGUGAGUAACACGUGGGUAACCUGCCUGUAAGACUGGGAUAACUCCGGGAAACCGGGGCUAAUACCGGAUGCUUGUUUGAACCGCAUGGUUCAAACAUAAAAGGUGGCUUCGGCUACCACUUACAGAUGGACCCGCGGCGCAUUAGCUAGUUGGUGAGGUAACGGCUCACCAAGGCAACGAUGCGUAGCCGACCUGAGAGGGUGAUCGGCCACACUGGGACUGAGACACGGCCCAGACUCCUACGGGAGGCAGCAGUAGGGAAUCUUCCGCAAUGGACGAAAGUCUGACGGAGCAACGCCGCGUGAGUGAUGAAGGUUUUCGGAUCGUAAAGCUCUGUUGUUAGGGAAGAACAAGUACCGUUCGAAUAGGGCGGUACCUUGACGGUACCUAACCAGAAAGCCACGGCUAACUACGUGCCAGCAGCCGCGGUAAUACGUAGGUGGCAAGCGUUGUCCGGAAUUAUUGGGCGUAAAGGGCUCGCAGGCGGUUUCUUAAGUCUGAUGUGAAAGCCCCCGGCUCAACCGGGGAGGGUCAUUGGAAACUGGGGAACUUGAGUGCAGAAGAGGAGAGUGGAAUUCCACGUGUAGCGGUGAAAUGCGUAGAGAUGUGGAGGAACACCAGUGGCGAAGGCGACUCUCUGGUCUGUAACUGACGCUGAGGAGCGAAAGCGUGGGGAGCGAACAGGAUUAGAUACCCUGGUAGUCCACGCCGUAAACGAUGAGUGCUAAGUGUUANGGGGUUUCCGCCCCUUAGUGCUGCAGCUAACGCAUUAAGCACUCCGCCUGGGGAGUACGGUCGCAAGACUGAAACUCAAAGGAAUUUGACGGGGGCCCGCACAAGCGGUGGAGCAUGUGGUUUAAUUUCGAAGCACGCGA